ACAGAGGGGGCAAGCGUUAUUCGGAAUUAUUGGGCGUAAAGAGCGUGUAGGCGGCCGUACAGGUCAGCUGUGAAAACUCGAGGCUCAACCUCGAGACGUCGGUUGAAACCGUACGGCUAGAGUCCGGAAGAGGAGAGUGGAAUUCCCGGUGUAGCGGUGAAAUGCGCAGAUAUCGGGAAGAACACCCGUGGCGAAGGCGGCUCUCUGGGACGGUACUGACGCUGAGACGCGAAAGCGUGGGGAGCAAACAGGA
Molecule: ribosomal RNA, 253 nt
Filed under: uncultured prokaryote
Description: partial 16S ribosomal RNA
Rfam family: Bacterial small subunit ribosomal RNA
Source: RNAcentral